UUGUUUGAUGCUCUGCUCUGCCCCCGAUCUUCUGUCGGUGCUCUACAGUGUCUGCUCUAUCCGCUGCAUGCACUCGAUGCUUGUCAAACUCCUCCUGGUUUCUGUCUGAUUCUCCCACGACUGAUGCCUCUUUCUGCUUGUCGGACUUCUCAUGGCUACACACCCAUGAACAUGGUUCUGUUGCCCAUAGGGCCGUUUAAAGCCCUAAAACCCA
This 214-nucleotide long non-coding RNA is filed under the name Elaeis guineensis (African oil palm). Its description in RNAcentral is "long non-coding RNA (EGUI_LNC068110)". The record is from RNAcentral. Lineage: Eukaryota; Viridiplantae; Streptophyta; Magnoliopsida; Arecales; Arecaceae.